GGUUCCGGUCGUAGAACCAUAGAGAGAGGGUAAGGAAGGUAGAGAGUCGCUUUUCUCUUUAAAGUUAUAGAGAUGCGGGAGGAGAAGGUGAGCUACGGCUAGCCCUACGUUCCGGUUUCCAUAUGGCGCCCUCACUUUGACUAUACAGUAUAAGCUCCUUUUGUGGUUUGGCAUCCAUCUGUACGCCUCGGGAGACGACGGAAGAGUGCGCCUUCCGGGGGUAAAGUCAAACCGCUAGCAAGUUACAGCACCUGCUUUGGCUUCAGAGAUAAAGUAUGUACGUAAGCUCCAGUAAAGUCAAUAGAACUUCCUUCUGAGUGGAGUUUUAUAGGCUUCUACAGAAUAGACUUAACUUUCAGGUACUAUCCUGGUCACUUUAGCCCUGCCCUACCCAAGUAGCACUGCCUUCGUUUCUUCUCUCCUCACCCUGAAAUUAAAGCAGAAGAGCAAUGCUUGGGGGCCACUAAAUCGUCUGUGUCUGGAAGGAUAACACUUCAUGCAUCCGAAGAGAUUAAUUUGAGCGAGGUGUCUGGUGAAGAGGGAAGGAAUUCUUGAAGAAUUGAUGCUUUUGAAUUAUGGUGCUGGAGGAGACUCUUGAGAGUCCCAUGG
Non-coding RNA from Podarcis muralis (Common wall lizard), 609 nucleotides. NCBI's taxonomy places the organism in Eukaryota, Metazoa, Chordata, Lepidosauria, Squamata, Lacertidae. The record is from RefSeq and is a predicted model, not a curated record.